This 460-nucleotide ribosomal RNA is filed under the name uncultured bacterium. Its description in RNAcentral is "partial 16S ribosomal RNA". It matches the Rfam family "Bacterial small subunit ribosomal RNA", at positions 338 to 795 of the family's 1533-position model. The record is from RNAcentral.
CCUACGGGUGGCAGCAGUGAGGAAUAUUGGUCAAUGGACGAGAGUCUGAACCAGCCAAGUAGCGUGAAGGAUGACUGCCCUAUGGGUUGUAAACUUCUUUUAUAAAGGAAUAAAACGAGGCACGUGUGCCUUUUUGCAUGUACUUUAUGAAUAAGGAUCGGCUAACUCCGUGCCAGCAGCCGCGGUAAUACGGAGGAUCCGAGCGUUAUCCGGAAUUAUUGGGUUUAAAGGGAGCGUAGAUGGGUUGUUAAGUCAGUUGUGAAAGUUUGCGGCUCAACCGUAAAAUUGCAAUUGAUACUGGCAGUCGUGAGUACAGUUGAGGUAGGCGGAAUUCGUGGUGUAGCGGUGAAAUGCUUAGAUAUCACGAAGAACCCCGAUUGCGAAGGCAGCUUACUAAACUGUGACUGACAUUGAUGCACGAAAGUGUGGGUAUCAAACAGGAUUAGAUACCCUUGUAGUC